GAUGAACGCUGGCGGCGUGCCUAAUACAUGCAAGUCGAGCGAACGGACGAGAAGCUUGCUUCUCUGAUGUUAGCGGCGGACGGGUGAGUAACACGUGGAUAACCUACCUAUAAGACUGGGAUAACUUCGGGAAACCGGAGCUAAUACCGGAUAAUAUUUUGAACCGCAUGGUUCAAAAGUGAAAGACGGUCUUGCUGUCACUUAUAGAUGGAUCCGCGCUGCAUUAGCUAGUUGGUAAGGUAACGGCUUACCAAGGCAACGAUGCAUAGCCGACCUGAGAGGGUGAUCGGCCACACUGGAACUGAGGCACGGUCCAGACUCCUACGGGAGGCAGCAGUAGGGAAUCUUCCGCAAUGGGCGAAAGCCUGACGGAUCAACGCCGCGUGAGUGAUGAAGGUCUUCGGAUCGUAAAACUCUGUUAUUAGGGAAGAACAUAUGUGUAAGUAACUGUGCACAUCUUGACGGUACCUAAUCAGAAAGCCACGGCUAACUACGUG
RNAcentral lists this ribosomal RNA (497 nucleotides) under uncultured bacterium. RNAcentral's name for it is "partial 16S ribosomal RNA". It matches the Rfam family "Bacterial small subunit ribosomal RNA", at positions 28 to 507 of the family's 1533-position model. The record is from RNAcentral.